This 253-nucleotide ribosomal RNA is filed under the name uncultured bacterium. Its description in RNAcentral is "partial 16S ribosomal RNA". It matches the Rfam family "Bacterial small subunit ribosomal RNA", at positions 524 to 776 of the family's 1533-position model. The record is from RNAcentral.
UACGGGGGGGGCAAGCGUUGUUCGGAAUUACUGGGCGUAAAGGGCUCGUAGGCGGCUAACUAAGUCGGACGUGAAAUCCCCAGGCUCAACCUGGGAACUGCGUCCGAUACUGGAUGGCUUGAAUCCGGGAGAGGGAUGCAGAAUUCCAGGUGUAGCGGUGAAAUGCGUAGAUAUCUGGAGGAACACCGGUGGCGAAGGCGGCAUCCUGGACCAAUAUUGACGCUGAGGAGCGAAAGCCAGGGGAGCAAACGGG